This 26-nucleotide non-coding RNA is filed under the name Mus musculus (house mouse). Lineage: Eukaryota; Metazoa; Chordata; Mammalia; Rodentia; Muridae. The record is from RNAcentral.
UUGCACUGUGCACUAAGAACCUGGAA